Molecule: long non-coding RNA, 339 nt
Filed under: Gallus gallus (chicken)
Lineage: Eukaryota; Metazoa; Chordata; Aves; Galliformes; Phasianidae
Source: RNAcentral
CACAUGGAUUUCUACUGCUAUUUGGACUUCUCCAAGGAUAGCGCAUCCGGUGUACCCUUUCCUGCCAUCCAAUAAGAGGUUGGGAGGUGGAGGAAGCGAGCAGAGAAGAUCGAUGCAAGAGAUAAAGAAAAGACAGGAGCAGGAAGGUGAAAACAACAAAGGGAAUCAGAAUAGAUAUAUUUGGGAUAAGGUAGAAGAAUAAGUGGAUAGAAGUGUGUCACAGGCAUAUAUUUACCUUUCCAGAUGAGCAAGGAUAAGGAUAAGGAACUUACCACAGAUUUUUCUCUCAAUUCUUAUGUCUUCACAAAGGUGUGUUAAGAAGUUUAAGUAUGUAACAAU